RNAcentral lists this ribosomal RNA (250 nucleotides) under uncultured bacterium. RNAcentral describes it as "partial 16S ribosomal RNA". It matches the Rfam family "Bacterial small subunit ribosomal RNA", at positions 809 to 1058 of the family's 1533-position model. The record is from RNAcentral.
UUGGGCGCUAGAUGUGGGGCUCAUUCCACGAGUUCCGUGUCGCAGCUAACGCAUUAAGCGCCCCGCCUGGGGAGUACGGCCGCAAGGCUAAACUCAAAGGAAUUGACGGGGGCCCGCACAAGCGGCGGAGCAUGUUGCUUAAUUCGAUGCAACGCGAAGAACCUUACCUAGGCUUGACAUGCACGGAAAUCUCCCAGAGAUGGGAGGUCCUUUAAAGGGUCGUGCACAGGUGGUGCAUGGCUGUCGUCAG